RNAcentral lists this long non-coding RNA (916 nucleotides) under Vulpes vulpes (red fox). RNAcentral's name for it is "lncRNA (ENSVVUG00000018529.1)". The record is from RNAcentral. Lineage: Eukaryota; Metazoa; Chordata; Mammalia; Carnivora; Canidae.
AGGCAGAGGGAGAAGCAGGCUCCAUGCACCGGGGGCCGACGUGGGAUUUGAUCCCGGGUCUCCGGGAUCGCGUCCUGGGCCAAAGGCAGGCGCCGAACCGCUGCGCCACCCAGGGAUCCCCCAAGUCUCUUUCUAAAGAAGCUUAAUUUCAGCAGCAACAUGGAGGCGGCANCGACGUGGGAUUCGAUCCCGGGUCUCCGGGAUCGCGCCCUGGGCCAAAGGCAGGCGCCAAACCGCUGCGCCACCCAGGGAUUCCCCAAGUCUCUUUUUAACGAAGCUUAAUUUAAGCAGAAACAUACAGGAGGAGGAAAAUGUCAGCUACCCCAUGAAGGAGGCACCCAGAGAGAAUGUACACUGACCAUCCACUGCUGAGGGCCGUGAACAUUCCAGUAUAUCUCCCCAAUACCUGCCAUCCUGGCCUUCUGUCUUUUAAGCGGGUGACUGUCAAUGGGGAAUGGAGCCCUAUCAGGAAAGCACAUUUUUCUCUCAAAUAUCUUGAUGAAAUGCAACAGACUGUCUCAGGAAACUUUGUCCCUCCUGCCUAUAAUCCCUGGGAGAUGAUGUAUGAGCAUUCUGGACCCAGCCUCCGGAAACUACGCCUAGGAAAAUAACAAACUGAGAGGCCUCUACCCUAGCUGUGCUGGACUGGAUAACACAGCCUCAGAGGCCUGUGGAAAGGAUGACCUCCUCUGCCUGUCUGGCCCCUUUCUGCCAUGGCUGAGGCUCCCUGAAUCUGCUUGACUUGGCCACGGUCAAAUUCCAGGAAGUGUGAGUGAGGGCAUAGAGAGAAGAUUUGGUCUAGUUCUAAUCACCUCUGUGUGGGCCACAUCUCGGAUGGAGAUAGACAAGGCUCUAAUUCUCAACCAUGCUUUUUGUUUUUGUUUUAUAAACACUUGCCAAGUAGGGGUGCUUGGAU